GGGGAAACUGAGGUUCAAACUGGCAGAGACCGAGGGUCCCGCCGUCUCCUCCUCUGGCUCCUCAGUCUCCAGUCUGACCCAACAGAGCCAUAGUUUUCUGGGUGGGAAGAGCCUCUGCGGGCUGGUCCACGAGGGAGGUGAGGUGAGGGAGACGGGCUGUCCAGGCCUGCUGCUGUCCCAGGGCGGCAGCUUCAGGCUGUGAUUGAGGCCGGGUGGAGGGGUGGCGGGAUGGAGGGGUGGAGUGGGAGGGCAGAGCUGCUGGCAGGGCCCCACUCCUGCCCCCCUCCCCCCCACCCCAGGCUGACCUUCUUUAGCACUUCCCAGCCUUUCCAGGAGCUCAGAGGCCACCCAGGCGCAGGAAGUCAGUGCCCAGGGCAGGAAUGAGUCUGAGGAAAGGAGGCGAGGACAGGACUGGGACAGUCUCGGGGGCCAUCCUCUGCCUCUCCCCAUCAGAUAGCCGAUUUGGGGCGAGAACGGUAUGGGAGGUUCCGUUUAAUUCAUUCCAAUUCAGCAUCCGUUCAUUGAGCAUCUCCCGUGGGCCUGGCACCGUGCCGGGCCCCAGGGAGGCACACGAAGCCAUAGACGAGUUGGGAACUGCAGGUCAGCCCCAUGGGGGCCAAGACUAGUUUUUUUGUUUUGUCUUGUUUUGUUUUGGGGGUUUCUUUGGUGCAUCUAAUUCCACCUGUGCACCCACUGCUCCCAGGGCUGAAGUUGGAGAAGAAGCAAGAAAGUCCUGAAUCCGGGCCCUGGGAAGGAAAGGAAGGAUGGAAAGGGGGGGAAAGAUACCGCAGGGAACAGGGUGGUAGACCGGGAAGCGUGGGCACAGCGUGGGGGACAGACAGCCUGAGUCAGUUUCUACCAGCAAGCUGGUCCUCUCCCUGCAAAGCCCACUUCUGGCUGCGUGUUUCCGUCCCUGCGCUCUCGGCUGGGUCCAGUCUCCUGUUUUUCUCAACCGCCCCUGCCUCUCCUGUUGUCUUGGACCUCCUUGUCUGUCUCUUCCUCCUAAUUAAGGGCCCCUGUAAAGAGCUGGGCUGGCCGACCCAUGGGAUUUAG
Molecule: long non-coding RNA, 1053 nt
Filed under: Felis catus (domestic cat)
Lineage: Eukaryota; Metazoa; Chordata; Mammalia; Carnivora; Felidae
Description: sodium voltage-gated channel beta subunit 2 (ENSFCAG00000032779.3)
Source: RNAcentral